GGGAGGCCGUGGACGCGCAGGAUCUGCAGCAGGGCCGGGUGCAGGAGGCGUCCGCGUCAUCCAGGAUGUCGCCCUUGAGCGCACCACCGUUGCUACCUCGAUGCCGCCGCAUCCAAAGGUCGAUUUUUUUAAUCUGUUCGUCCGCGAUAGAUCUCCAUUAGUCAUGUUUACCACUAAGCUUAAUUAGAGCGCUGUUAGCAUUAGGGUUAUUUAGAGUCAUGUCAGCGUUAGGAUUAUUUAGCAGCUUCGGCUUAAUCAUAAUCUGGAUUCCGUUAGAGUCCUGUUUAGCAGCAUUAGACCUCCAUCAGGCCUCUCUAACUUAUCUGUGCAGGUAGCAUGUUGUAUGGUCUGAUUUGCUACAUAUAUUUGCAUCUCCUUUUAUCCGUGCAAUCAGCAUGUAUGGUCCUUCAAAAUGUCUUGGCAACAUUUCAGAAAGCUGUUAGGAUAAGUAGUUAGGAAAUCAAAAUUGAAGCAGGCUAGGUUUUUAUAUACGAAAGGUAAACCUGAACAUUGACCUCUUUCUACCGGUGCUUCCAAGUACAAGUUCAACAAGGAAAGGCCUAAUUCCUGUUAUUGUGGAGUUCGUUUGCACACUCACUUUGUGCAGCAAGUUGCCUAGUUCUGUUCUGAUGCUUCAAUUAUACUUGCUCUUUUUUUAUAACCAAAUUUUCCAUGCUUUUGCUCAAGACUUCAAUAUAAAAGGAGUGUUCAAGUUAUGUAUAUAUAUUCCGGUAUUCUGUAUGCCGCUGUUGUUUACAAACUACAUAUUUGCUGUACAAGGUACUGUCAUGAUGAUGAUGAUUUGCUACGACGUUUCCUUUCCUAUAGUGAUAUCUAAUUCUAAAAUUGCAAGUUUUGGAAGUGUCUUUUGUUGAGAACUUCUUCUAUGCUCUCGUACUUGCAUUUCAACUACUUCAUCCUUCACCUCUGCCCUUGCUGUCAUGCGGCGACGGCGAGUUCACCGUGCCGCAACCGUGGCAUUUGUGGCAUCUUCGUCUCUAUGGUUUAGGGUCCUGCCAUGUUCAUGUGUCAUGUCAGGUGAGGGUGAUUGUGCUUCUUGUUGUAGUUGAGAUUAUUGUAAUUGUUUCUAGAGCAUGAACAUUAUGUUUCGUUGAAGUCCAUGACGUUUUCCAUUUUUUUGCAUCUAGCACUGUUCUAAGUGUUCUUAGAGGUGCAACAUCUAAAUUGGUGAUGAGUGUCCUCAAACUUGAGAGUAUUUCUCCUUGCUAACGGUAGAUGCUAAAUUUAAUUAACGCUUCCUGAUUGUGUCAGUAGUCGAAAGGAGUCCCUUCAACACUAUUAGCUUUGCUUCUGGAGUUGCAUUUGAGCUGAUAGUUGGUUAAUAAUUUACCAUUUUUUCUAAUUUGAAGUGAUAAUUCUUACGCCAUUAGAAUGCUCUUCAGCUGGAUUGUUUCUGGCAUUUGUGAUGGAUAAAAAAUAGAGCUUAAGCCUUUCGAUUCUUGUUUCCUUUGGCUCUUCUGCAUUGGAUAUUUGCUCUAGGAGUUGUUACUUAUUGUUUCUAGUUGGUUUCUUUUGUGGCUGGGCUGCUGGGGGUCCUUUAAGCUUUUUGUUUAUGCUUCAUGUUGUUAAGCUUGGGACCUCCAGCUUUUUGGAUUAAAAGCAUAAUGUUGAUAAUCCAAAGAGCAUGCCCUAGUGCAUGAUAAUUGGUGUUCCUCUUAUUGUAAAUAUCAUUAGAUAAGAAAUAUAUGUUCUACACUUUUGUGUUAAACACCUAGGAUUCCCUAACUGUUGCUAAAUGUGUUGUAUUAUGCAUCUCUUGCAGAUCACUGGACUCUUGCGUUUGAGAGCAUCUUCGUAGCUGUUAAGACUGCUAUAUGGUCUUGUGGUGGCAAUGCCUGGCCUCGGCGACAACCUCUCCGCCAGAGGACGUCCGGGUCACCGGCACCACCCUGCUCCAGUAACCCACCAGAAGAUGGCAUGCGGCGGCACCGGUAAGCGAGGAUGAGCGGUUGUUCUGGCCUGGAGAUGGGCUCGCUGGUAUGUGCAACUUUGCUGAAUUGGUGUUACCGGUGCCCUUCUGAGCUUGGCAGCUCCGGCGGCGUUGUAGGAGGAGGUGGUGGAAGUUUGAACGUUUUGCGACGGCGGCAGCUUCGCUGUGGCUUGUUUUUUGAUAGGGGAAUUACCUGUUACAUGAGUCCGUAUUGUGUGACGUGUAGCUGCACGCCUUUUGUUGUCGUUUGAAGUUGAAAACCUGGGCUGGCUCUCAAUGCGCGUAUGUUUGCUGUA
Long non-coding RNA from Lolium rigidum, 2247 nucleotides. RefSeq lists it as uncharacterized. The transcript has 2 exons. The record is from RefSeq and is a predicted model, not a curated record. NCBI's taxonomy places the organism in Eukaryota, Viridiplantae, Streptophyta, Magnoliopsida, Poales, Poaceae.